RNAcentral lists this ribosomal RNA (372 nucleotides) under uncultured organism. RNAcentral's name for it is "bacterial SSU rRNA". It matches the Rfam family "Bacterial small subunit ribosomal RNA", at positions 526 to 896 of the family's 1533-position model. The record is from RNAcentral.
CAGGGGGGGCAAGCGUUGUUCGGAAUUACUGGGCGUAAAGGGUUCGUAGGUGGCCACUUAAGUCAGACGUGAAAUCCCUCAGCUUAACUGGGGAACUGCGUCUGAUACUGCGUGGCUUGAGUGCAGGAGAGGAAUGCGGAAUUCCAGGUGUAGCGGUGAAAUGCGUAGAUAUCUGGAGGAACACCGGUGGCGAAGGCGGCAUUCUGGUCUGUAACUGACACUGAUGAACGAAAGCCAGGGGAGCAAACGGGAUUAGAUACCCCGGUAGUCCUGGCCCUAAACGAUGAAUGCUUGGUGUGGCGGGUAUCGAUCCCUGCCGUGCCGCAGUUAACGCGAUAAGCAUUCCGCCUGGGGAGUACGGUCGCAAGGCUG